This is a non-coding RNA of Hypoxylon sp. FL1150, 76 nucleotides long. NCBI's taxonomy places the organism in Eukaryota, Fungi, Ascomycota, Sordariomycetes, Xylariales, Hypoxylaceae. The record is from the annotation of a GenBank genome assembly.
GUAUCAGUAGUUUAGUGGUAAAAUCUGUCGUUGCUAUGCUAGCGAUGGGCCCCGCGUUCGAUUCGCGGCUGAUACG